This 332-nucleotide ribosomal RNA is filed under the name uncultured bacterium. RNAcentral describes it as "bacterial SSU rRNA". It matches the Rfam family "Bacterial small subunit ribosomal RNA", at positions 568 to 898 of the family's 1533-position model. The record is from RNAcentral.
UGCGUAGGCGGUGCGGUAAGUCUUUUGUGAAAUCUCCGGGCUCAACUCGGAGUCUGCAGGAGAAACUGCCGUGCCUGAGUAUGGGAGAGGUGAGUGGAAUUCCUGGUGUAGCGGUGAAAUGCGUAGAUAUCAGGAGGAACACCUGUGGCGAAAGCGGCUCACUGGACCAUAACUGACGCUGAUGCACGAAAGCUAGGGGAGCAAACAGGAUUAGAUACCCUGGUAGUCCUAGCCCUAAACGAUGAUUGCUUGGUGUGUCGGGUACCCAAUCCCGACGUGCCGGAGCUAACGCGAUAAGCAAUCCGCCUGGGGAGUACGGUCGCAAGGCUGAA